UUGAACGCUGGCGGCAUGCCUUACACAUGCAAGUCGAACGGCAGCACGGGGGCAACCCUGGUGGCGAGUGGCGAACGGGUGAGUAAUACAUCGGAACGUGCCCUGAAGUGGGGGAUAACGUAGCGAAAGUUACGCUAAUACCGCAUAUUCUGUGAGCAGGAAAGCAGGGGAUCGCAAGACCUUGCGCUUUAGGAGCGGCCGAUGUCGGAUUAGCUAGUUGGUGAGGUAAAGGCUCACCAAGGCGACGAUCCGUAGCGGGUCUGAGAGGAUGAUCCGCCACACUGGGACUGAGACACGGCCCAGACUCCUACGGGAGGCAGCAGUGGGGAAUUUUGGACAAUGGGCGCAAGCCUGAUCCAGCCAUGCCGCGUGAGUGAAGAAGGCCUUCGGGUUGUAAAGCUCUUUCAGCCGGAACGAAACGGUACGCUCUAACAUAGCGUGCUAAUGACGGUACCGGCAGAAGAAGCACCGGCUAACUACGU
This 482-nucleotide ribosomal RNA is filed under the name uncultured bacterium. RNAcentral describes it as "bacterial SSU rRNA". It matches the Rfam family "Bacterial small subunit ribosomal RNA", at positions 30 to 506 of the family's 1533-position model. The record is from RNAcentral.